AGCCAUGCGAGUCUAGGGGUACUUGUACCCCUGGCAUAAUGCUCAGUAACACGUGGUAUAAUCUACCCUUAGGUGGGGCAUAAACCCGGGAAACUGGGGCUAAUUCCCCAUAGAUACAGAAGGCUGGAAUGCCUCUGUAUUUAAAGCUUCGGGGGCCUAAGGAUGACUCUGCCCCCCUAUCAGAUAGUAGUCGGGGUCACCACCUUGACUAACCCAAGGACGGGGUACGGGGGGGUGAAAAGCCCCUUGCCCGGAAGAUGUUUUCUGAAACCACGAAAACCAGGCCCCUACGGGGCGGCAGCCAGGCGCAAAAACUUCGGCAUGGGGGAAAACCUGGGACAAGGGGAACUUCCAAGGGCUUUAUCCAUGGCAAGAACGUGUUUUUCCACCCUAAUAUACCUGUUUAAAUAAAGGGGGGGGUAAAAACCGGUGCCAGCCCGCCCGGGUAACCCCCGGCACCCCAAGUGGUAGCCUCUAUUAUUGGGCCUAAACGUUCGUAGCCCGUUAAUAAAUUCUUGGGUAAUCGUACAGCUUACUGGGCGAUUUCCGGGGAACCUACUGACUUG
This 566-nucleotide ribosomal RNA is filed under the name uncultured archaeon. Its description in RNAcentral is "partial 16S ribosomal RNA". It matches the Rfam family "Archaeal small subunit ribosomal RNA", at positions 47 to 595 of the family's 1478-position model. The record is from RNAcentral.